UACGUAGGGUGCGAGCGUUGCCCGGAUUUAUUGGGCGUAAAGAGCUCGUAGGCGGCUUGUCGCGUCGUUCGUGAAAACUCACAGCUCAACUGUGAGCUUGCGGUCGAUACGGGCAGGCUAGAGUUCGGUAGGGGAGACUGGAAUUCCUGGUGUAGCGGUGAAAUGCGCAGAUAUCAGGAGGAACACCGGUGGCGAAGGCGGGUCUCUGGGCCGAUACUGACGCUGAGGAGCGAAAGCGUGGGGAGCGAACAGG
RNAcentral lists this ribosomal RNA (253 nucleotides) under uncultured bacterium. Its description in RNAcentral is "partial 16S ribosomal RNA". It matches the Rfam family "Bacterial small subunit ribosomal RNA", at positions 524 to 776 of the family's 1533-position model. The record is from RNAcentral.